This 1852-nucleotide ribosomal RNA is filed under the name human gut metagenome. RNAcentral describes it as "bacterial LSU rRNA". It matches the Rfam family "Bacterial large subunit ribosomal RNA", at positions 692 to 2555 of the family's 2925-position model. The record is from RNAcentral.
GCGUUCAGUUGCGCGUCGUAGACCCGAAACCGAGUGACCUAUCCAUGAACAGGUUGAAGCAGUGGUAAAACACUGUGGAGGACCGAACCCACGCCUGUUAAAAUAGUCGGGGAUGAUUUGUGGAUAGCGGAGAAAUUCUAAUCGAACUCGGAUAUAGCUGGUUCUCCUCGAAAUAGCUUUAGGGCUAGCCUCCGAAUUUAGAUUAUUGAAGGUAGAGCACUGUAUGGGCUAGGGGACUUCACGGUUUACCGAACCUUAACAAACUUCGAAUUUCAAUUAAUUAUGUCGGGGAGUCAGACUGCGUGAGAUAAGUUUCGUAGUCAAAAGGGAAACAGCCCAGACCUACAGCUAAGGUCCCCAAAUUCAGGUUAAGUGGAAAAGGAUGUAUCGUUGCUAAAACAACCAGGAUGUUGGCUUAGAAGCAGCCACUCAUUCAAAGAGUGCGUAAUAGCUCACUGGUCGAGUGACGACGCGCCGAAGAUUAACGGGGCUAAAACCUGAUACCGAAGCUUAGGAAUGAUUUUUAAUCAUUGGUAGAGGAGCAAUGUAUGCGCGCAGAAGCCGUAUCGAAAGGGGCGGUGGAGUGCAUACAAGAGAGAAUGCCGGUAUAAGUAGCGAAAGUGAGGUGAGAAUCCUCACCAUCGAAAGUCUAAGGUUUCCUGGGGAAGGUUCGUCCCCCCAGGGUCAGUCGGGGCCUAAGUCGAGGGCGAAAGCCGUAGAUGAUGGACAGUAGGUUGAUAUUCCUGCACCGCCACUGGACGUUUUUACCGAUGCAAUGACACAGAAGGAUAGUUGAUCCCCGCGGAUGGUAAAGUGGGGUCGGCACACGAGGCCGGAGCGUAGUGAAGUACGCGCUCCGUUAAGGCAGAGUGUGAGGUUAAGCGAAAUUAAGUAGUAGUUUCAAUGAAUCCACGCUGGCGAGAAAAGUUGCUAGGGAGAAAAGUGGCGCCCGUACCGCAAACCGACACAGGUAGACGAUGAGAGAAUCAUAAGAUGAUCGGGAGAACUCUUGUUAAGGAACUCGGCAAAAUGACCCCGUAACUUCGGGAGAAGGGGUGCCACAGCGAUGUGGCCGCAGUGAAUAGUCCCAAGCAACUGUUUAUCAAAAACACAGGUCUCUGCUAAAUCGAAAGAUGAAGUAUAGGGGCUGACGCCUGCCCAGUGCUGGAAGGUUAAGGGGAGCUGUUAGCGCAAGCGAAGCGGUGAACUUAAGCCCCAGUGAACGGCGGCCGUAACUAUAACGGUCCUAAGGUAGCGAAAUUCCUUGUCAGGUAAGUUCUGACCCGCACGAAUGGCGUAAUGAUUUGGGAACUGUCUCAACAAGAGACCCGGCGAAAUUGUAGUAUACGUGAAGAUGCGUAUUAACCUGCGACUGGACGGAAAGACCCCGUAGAGCUUUACUGUAGCUUGGUAUUGAAUUUCGGCAAUGAAUGUACAGGAUAGGUGGGAGACUUGGAAGCCUCGGCGUCAGCUGAGGUGGAGUCACCCUUGGGAUACCACCCUUUUAUUGCUGGGGUUCUAACGGUGUGCCGUUAUCCGGGCACCGGACAUUGCCAGGUGGGCAGUUUGACUGGGGCGGUCGCCUCCCAAAAAGUAACGGAGGCGCCCAAAGGUUCCCUCAGAAUGGUUGGAAAUCAUUCGCAGAGUGCAAAGGCAGAAGGGAGCUUGACUGCGAGACAGACAUGUCGAGCAGAUACGAAAGUAGGGCUUAGUGAUCCGGCGGUAGAGUAUGGAAUUGCCGUCGCUUAACGGAUAAAAGUUACCUCGGGGAUAACAGGCUUAUCUCCCCCAAGAGUUCACAUCGACGGGGAGGUUUGGCACCUCGAUGUCGGCUCGUCGCAUCCUGGGGCUG